Molecule: ribosomal RNA, 399 nt
Filed under: uncultured bacterium
Lineage: Bacteria
Description: partial 16S ribosomal RNA
Rfam family: Bacterial small subunit ribosomal RNA
Source: RNAcentral
AAUAUUGCGCAAUGGGGGAAACCCUGACGCAGCAACGCCGCGUGAAGGAAGAAGGUCUUCGGAUUGUAAACUUCUUUCGUUGGUGAAGAUAUUGACGGUAGCCGCGGAGGAAGCCACGGCUAAAUACGUGCCAGCAGCCGCGGUAAUACGUAGGUGGCAAGCGUUGUCCGGAUUUACUGGGUGUAAAGGGCGUGUAGACGGGUGUGCAAGUCAGAUGUGAAAUACCGCGGCUUAACCGCGGGGGUGCAUUUGAAACUGCAUAUCUUGAGUGUGGGAGAGGAAAGCGGAAUUCCUAGCGUAGCGGUGAAAUGCGUAGAUAUUAGGAGGAACACCAAUGGCGAAGGCAGCCCCCUGGGCCGAUACUGACGCUCAUGCACGAAAGCGUGGGUAGCAAACAGG